This is a non-coding RNA of Arachnomyces sp. PD_36, 101 nucleotides long. Lineage: Eukaryota; Fungi; Ascomycota; Eurotiomycetes; Onygenales; Arachnomycetaceae. The record is from the annotation of a GenBank genome assembly.
GUCGACGUGGGACAGUGGUUACUCCGUUCGGCUGCUAGUCAUGUGACAUAUUAGUUUACCGGAUGCCUUCGGGCGCGUCAGUUCGAAUCUGGCCGUCGACG